CCUACGGGAGGCAGCAGUCGGGAAUAUUGGGCAAUGGGCGCAAGCCUGACGCAGCAACGCCGCGUGAAGGAAGAAGGCUUUCGGGUUGUAAACUUCUUUUAUCAGGGACGCAGCAAGUGACGGUACCUGAUGAAUAAGCCACGGCUAACUACGUGCCAGCAGCCGCGGUAAUACGUAGGUGGCAAGCGUUAUCCGGAUUUACUGGGUGUAAAGGGCGUGUAGGCGGGAAAGCAAGUCAGAUGUGAAAACCAUGGGCUCAACCUGUGGCCUGCAUUUGAAACUGUUUGUCUUGAGUACUGGAGAGGCAGACGGAAUUCCUGGUGUAGCAGUGAAAUGCGUAGAUAUUAGGAGGAACACCAGUGGCGAAGGCGGUCUGCUGGACAGCAACUGACGCUGAGGCGCGAAAGCGUGGGGAGCAAACAGGAUUAGAUACCCUAGUAGUC
This 443-nucleotide ribosomal RNA is filed under the name uncultured bacterium. RNAcentral's name for it is "partial 16S ribosomal RNA". It matches the Rfam family "Bacterial small subunit ribosomal RNA", at positions 338 to 795 of the family's 1533-position model. The record is from RNAcentral.